Long non-coding RNA from Oncorhynchus tshawytscha (Chinook salmon), 404 nucleotides. Lineage: Eukaryota; Metazoa; Chordata; Actinopteri; Salmoniformes; Salmonidae. The record is from Ensembl.
CUUGAAGUGUAGUUUCAGCAUGACUCUCAAUGUGAGAGGGGAGGUAGUCUGAGUGACCCCUUGAAGUGUAGUUUCAGCAUGACUCUCAAUGUGAGAGGCGAGGUAGUCUGAGUGACCCCUUGAAGUGUAGUUUCAGCAUGACUCUCAAUGUGAGAGGGGAGGUAGUCUGAGUGACCCCUUGAAGUGUAGUUUCAGCAUGACUCUCAAUGUGAGAGGCGAGGUAGUCUGAGUGACCCCUUGAAGUGUAGUUUCAGCAUGACUCUGAAUGUGAGAGGCGAGGUAGUCUGAGUGACCCCUUGAAGUGUAGUUUCAGCAUGACUCUCAAUGUGAGAGGGGAGGUAGUCUGAGUGACCCCUUGAAGUGUAGUGUCACAUCGUUCCACUUUUAACCAAUGUUUAACUGGC